This 708-nucleotide ribosomal RNA is filed under the name uncultured marine bacterium. RNAcentral's name for it is "bacterial SSU rRNA". It matches the Rfam family "Bacterial small subunit ribosomal RNA", at positions 94 to 788 of the family's 1533-position model. The record is from RNAcentral.
AGUGGCGAACGGGUGAGUAACACGUGGGGAACCUGCCCAUAAGAGGGGGAUAACAUCCGGAAACGGGUGCUAAUACCGCAUAGGUGAUCAUAGCGCAUGCUUAGAUCAUUAAAGAUGGCUUCGGCUAUCGCUUAUGGAUGGCCCCGCGGCGUAUUAGCUAGUUAGUAAGGUAAUGGCUUACCAAGGCAGUGAUACGUAGCCGACCUGAGAGGGUGAUCGGCCACACUGGGACUGAGACACGGCCCAGACUCCUACGGGAGGCAGCAGUAGGGAAUCUUCCACAAUGGGCGAAAGCCUGAUGGAGCAAUGCCGCGUGAGUGAAGAAGGUCUUCGGAUCGUAAAGCUCUGUUGUUAGAGAAGAACAAGAGGUGUAGUAACUGGCACCUCCUUGACGGUAUCUAACCAGAAAGUCACGGCUAACUACGUGCCAGCAGCCGCGGUAAUACGUAGGUGACAAGCGUUGUCCGGAUUUAUCGGGCGUAAAGCGAGCGCAAGCGGUCUUUUAAGUCUGAUGUGAAAGCCCACGGCUCAACCGUGGAUGGUCAUUGGAAACUGGAAGACUUGAAUGCAGAAGAGGAAAGUGGAAUUCCAUGUGUGGCGGUGAAAUGCGUAGAUAUAUGGAGGAACACCAGUGGCGAAGGCGACUUUCUGGUCUGUAAUUGACGCUGAGGCUCGAAAGCGUGGGGAGCGAACAGGAUUAAAUACCCU